RNAcentral lists this ribosomal RNA (848 nucleotides) under uncultured Acidobacteriota bacterium. RNAcentral describes it as "bacterial SSU rRNA". It matches the Rfam family "Bacterial small subunit ribosomal RNA", at positions 527 to 1376 of the family's 1533-position model. Lineage: Bacteria; Pseudomonadati; Acidobacteriota. The record is from RNAcentral.
GUAGGGGGCCAGCGUUGCUCGGAAUUACUGGGCGUAAAGGGUUCGUAGGUGGUGCGGCAAGUUGGGAGUGAAAUCUCUGGGCUUAACCCAGAGGCUGCUUUCAAAACUGCCGCGCUCGAGUGCGAGAGAGGUCAGUGGAAUUGCAGGUGUAGCGGUGAAAUGCGUAGAUAUCUGCAGGAACACCCGUGGCGAAGGCGGCUGACUGGAUCGCAACUGACGCUGAGGAACGAAAGCUAGGGGAGCAAACAGGAUUAGAUACCCUGGUAGUCCUAGCCCUAAACCAUCGGAACUUGGGGUGGCCCGCGUAGGCGGGUCGUCCCGUAGCUAACGCGUUAAGUUCCGCGCCUGGGGAGUACGGUCGCAAGACUGAAACUCAAAGGAAUUGACGGGGGCCCGCACAAGCGGUGGAACAUGUGGUUCAAUUCGACGCAACGCGAAGAACCUUACCUGGGCUUGAACUGCUACUGACCAACGAUAGAAAUAUUGUCUUCCCGCAAGGGACAGUAGUAGAGGUGCUGCAUGGCUGUCGUCAGCUCGUGCCGUGAGGUGUUGGGUUAAGUCCCGCAACGAGCGCAACCCUUAUUCGUAGUUGCCACCCGCAAGGGGGAACUCUACGAGGACUGCUCCGGAUAACGGAGAGGAAGGUGGGGAUGACGUCAAGUCAGCACGGCCUUUAUGUCCAGGGCUACACACGUGUUACAAUGCACGGUACAGACUGUUGCGAACCCGCGAGGGGGAGCUGAUCGGAUAAAACCGUGCUCAGUUCGGAUUGCAGUCUGCAACUCGACUGCAUGAAGCUGGAAUCGCUAGUAAUGGCGCAUCAGAUCGGCGCCGUGAAUACGUUCCCG